GUGAGGGAGCUGGAGCGUGUGGGUGUGCAGUCAGCAGUGACACAGGGCCUUGUUUUCUUUCUUUCUUUUUAAAUAAUACCUUCCUUUUGCCUACUGAAGCAGGGUUCACAAAGGGCCUUUUCAAAGAUUUUAGUUUUUAAAAAAUUUAUUCUUAAACUAGUAAGGAAGUCCUGGAAGGUAUGAUGAGUCCUGUUUUCAAUGCUGUGGAACAUUCAUCCGAAGAAGUUGCCUCUUUGAACACUUGUAAUGUCUUCAGUGAUGUGAUGGCAACCACAGAGACCAUGGAUCUAUCUUUUAUGAAAGGCAAAUGAAUCCGUAGAGCUUAAAAUAACAAUGGCUAUUUAAAGUGGGCCACAUGGGAGAUUAUUCCUGUUUUCCAGAAGGAAAUCUGAUGCCUUUGUAUCUGCAACCAUCCUGCAAACACCUCAUUGUGAAGUAUAAGUGCUGCUUUGACCAAGAAGGUCUGUAAGCUUGAUGCAAUGUCAUGACGUGGGAAUCUCCGUGAGGUUUCUCAGAGCCCAGCUGGUCUGAACACCGCCUCUGAGGUUCUGCCAAGAAUCAGAACAGGGCAGCUCUCUACAGUGGCGUCUGCCUGUGAGACACAAUAGCAUUAUCCCUUAGUGGGUUUAAGUUCUUGGACCCACAAAGUCCUGCGAGGUUCCAUCACAACAAUCUCCUGGAGCAUGGGACACUGAGUGGUGGAGGAAGAAGGGUAAUUAUCGUGAGGUAGAAGCAAAUACAAUACUAUCUCAAAUAUCACUGAGAUCUUUUGCAGAUGGGAAGGUGACCAUGGAUGGAGAUGGAGGGAAGGAAGGAGGAGGCUUGGAAGGGGAGGAGGACAUAUAAAGAGUUAAGAUGAUGGAGAUACCUCAAAGAGCUUGGACUGGAGGUUCCAUUUGACCCAGCCAUCCCU
Fukomys damarensis (Damara mole-rat) is the source of this 913-nucleotide long non-coding RNA. RefSeq lists it as uncharacterized. The record is from RefSeq and is a predicted model, not a curated record. The transcript is spliced from 4 exons. NCBI's taxonomy places the organism in Eukaryota, Metazoa, Chordata, Mammalia, Rodentia, Bathyergidae.